AGACAAGGUUCUAAAGAAAAAAGAGAAAAAAAUAAAUGAAAAAUGCAAUAGAUAGAACCGGUGUCUAAUUAAGAGAAUUUAGAGUUGGUAAAAACCCCAUACGUGGCGGCUUGGUACUGGCUUGUACCUUUCACACACGAAGGGAAAAAAAUUGUGCUUCUUUCGUCAUUCUGUUCUUCAAUAUUGUCGAAGUUCUGUUGUUGAUCGAUUUUGUCUCUCUCUUUCUUCGAUAAAGGAUCUUCAUGGGCUCAAACCUGAUCCAUUCGAAGGUUCUCAGUGGGAUGGUUUAGGGUUCUUCGUUCAGUACUUGUGGGUUUUUGGAAUCUUUUCGCGUUAAUCUCCGGUGGAAUUGCGGCGGGGACGUAUAACGAAGAAUCAAAGCGAAAGGUGCAACUUGAGCCUAUGGAGUCAUAGUGACUACCAUUGGAAAGUCAAUGGUGUUUUGCAACAGUUGAGAAAGUUAGGAUCUUGUUUAGAGUCAAUGUUGUUAACUUUCGUGGUGUUGGUAUGGAGGAAAAUGACGUUGGAUCAGAGCCUGGAGCUGAAGCCUUUGGUGAUCACCAAGUCGCUUGUGGCUAAGGACGAGGAUGUGGAUUUGGGGUCUGGGAUGGGUAGAGUCUCUAUCUUCUUUGGUACUCAGAC
Long non-coding RNA from Brassica napus (rape), 642 nucleotides. RefSeq lists it as uncharacterized. The transcript is spliced from 3 exons. NCBI's taxonomy places the organism in Eukaryota, Viridiplantae, Streptophyta, Magnoliopsida, Brassicales, Brassicaceae. The record is from RefSeq and is a predicted model, not a curated record.